UACUCCUACGGGAGGCAGCAGUGGGGAAUUUUGGACAAUGGGCGCAAGCCUGAUCCAGCCAUGCCGCGUGUCUGAAGAAGGUCUUCGGGUUGUAAAGGACUUUUGUCAGGGAAGAAAAGGACAGGGUUAAUACCCCUGUUUGAUGACGGUACCUGAAGAAUAAGCACCGGCUAACUACGUGCCAGCAGCCGCGGUAAUACGUAGGGUGCGAGCGUUAAUCGGAAUUACUGGGCGUAAAGCGAGCGCAGACGGUUACUUAAGCAGGAUGUGAAAUCCCCGGGCUCAACCUGGGAACUGCGUUCUGAACUGGGUGACUAGAGUGUGUCAGAGGGAGGUAGAAUUCCACGUGUAGCAGUGAAAUGCGUAGAGAUGUGGAGGAAUACCGAUGGCGAAGGCAGCCUCCUGGGAUAACACUGACGUUCAUGCUCGAAAGCGUGGGUAGCAAACAGGAUUAGAUACCCUGGUAGUCCACGCCCUAAACGAUGUCAAUUAGCUGUUGGGCAACUUGAUUGCUUAGUAGCGUAGCUAACGCGUGAAAUUGACCGCCUGGGGAGUACGGUCGCAAGAUUAAAACUCAAAGGAAUUGACGGA
This 591-nucleotide ribosomal RNA is filed under the name uncultured bacterium. RNAcentral's name for it is "bacterial SSU rRNA". It matches the Rfam family "Bacterial small subunit ribosomal RNA", at positions 334 to 917 of the family's 1533-position model. The record is from RNAcentral.